RNAcentral lists this long non-coding RNA (2279 nucleotides) under Mytilus galloprovincialis (Mediterranean mussel). Lineage: Eukaryota; Metazoa; Mollusca; Bivalvia; Mytilida; Mytilidae. The record is from RNAcentral.
GUCGCUCACCUUGGUCUAUGUGCAUAUUAAACAAAGGACACAAAUGGAUUCAUGACAAAAUUGUAUUUUGGUGAUGGUGAUGUGUUUGAAGUUCUUACUUUACUGAACGAUUUUGCUUCUUACAAUAUUAUCUAUAAUGAACUUUGCCCAUUAGUAACAGAGAACUAUAUUUGGUAAAAAUUUACAUAAAUUUACCAAAUUAAUGAAAAUUGUUAAAAAUUGACUAUAAAGGGCAAUAACUCCUAAAGGGGUCAAUUGACCAUAAAGGUCAUGUUGACUUAUUUGUAGAUCUUACUUUGCUGAACAUUAUUGCUGUUUACAGUUUAUCGCUAUCUAUAAUAGUAUUCAAGAUAACCAAAAACGGCAAAAUUUCUUUAAAAAUUACCAUUUGGAGGGCAGCAACCCAACAACCAGUUGUCCAAUUCAUCUGAAAAAUUCAGGGCAGAUAGAUAUUGACUUGAUUAACAAAUUAACUUCUUGUCAGAUUUGCUCUAAAUGCUUUGGUUUCAUAGUUAUAAGCCAAAAACUGCAUUUUACCCCUAUGUUUUAUUUUUAGCUGUGGCGGCCAUCUUAGUUGGUUGACCAAGUCAUGCCACACAUUUUUUAAACUAGAUACCCCAAAGAUGAUUGUGGCAAAGUUUGGAUUAGUUUGGCCCAGUAGUUUCAGAGGAGAAGAUUUUUGUAAAAGAUUACUUUAAUUUACGAAAAAUGGUUAAAAAUUUACUAUAAAGGGCAAUAACUCCUAAACGGGUCAACUGACCAUUUUCGUCAUGUUGACCUUUUUGUAGAUCUUACUUUGAUGAACAUUAUUGCUGUUUACAGUUUAUCUCUAUCUAUAAUAAUAUUCAAGAUAAUAACCAAAAACAGCAAAAUUUCCUCAAAAUUACCAAUUCAGGGGCAGCAACCCAACAAAGGGUUGACUGAUUCAACUGAAAAUUUCAGGGCAGAUAGAUAUUGACUUGAUUAACAAUUUAACUUAUUGUCAGAUUUGCUCUAAAUGCUUUGGUUUCAUAGUUAUAAGCCAAAAACUGCAUUUUACCCCUAUGUUCUAUUUUUAGCCGUGGCGGCCAUCUUAGUUGGUUGACCAGGUCACGCCACACAUUUUUUAAACUAGAUACCCCAAAGAUGAUUGUGGCCAAGUUUGGAUUAAUUUGGCCCAGUAGUUUCAGAGGAGAAGAUUUUUGUAAAAGAUUACUUUAAUUUACAAAAAAUGGUUAAAAAUUGACUAUAAAGGGCAAUAACUCCUACUCGGGUCAACUGACCAUUUUGGUCAUGUUGACUUAUUUGUAGAUCUUACUGUGCUGAACAUUAUUGCUUUUACAGUUUAUCUCUAUCUAUAAUAAUAUUCAAGAUAAUAACCAAAAACAGCAAAAUUUCCUCAAAAUUACCAAUUCAGGGGCAGCAACCCAACAACCGAUUGACCGAUUCAUCUGAAAAUUUCAGGGCAGAUAGAUCUUGACCUAAUAAACAUUUUUAUCCCAGUCAGAUUUCCUCAAAAUGCUUUGGUUUUUGAGUUAUAAGCCAAAAACUGCAUUUUACCCCUAUGUUCUAUUUUUAGCCGUGGCGGCCAUCUUGGUUGGUUGACCAGGUCACGCCACACAUUUUUUAAACUAGAUACCCCAAAGAUGAUUGUGGCCAAGUUUGGAUUAAUUUGGCCCAGUAGUUUCAGAGGAGAAGAUUUUUGUAAAAGAUUACUUUAAUUUACGAAAAAUGGUUAAAAAUUGACUAUAAAGGGCAAUAACUCCUAAACGGGUCAACUGACCAUUUUGGUCAUGUUGACUUAUUUGUAGAUCUUACUUUGCUGAACAUUAUUGUUGUUUACAGUUUAUCUCUAUCUAUAAUAAUAUUCAAGAUAAUAACCAAAAACAGCAAAAUUUCCUCAAAAUUACCAAUUCAGGGGCAGUAACCCAACAACCGAUUGACCGAUUCAUCUGAAAAUUUCAGGGCAGACAGAUCUUGACCUGAUAAACAUUUUUACCCCAUGUCAGAUUUGCUCUAAAUGCUUUGGUUUUUGAGUUAUAAGCCAAAAACUGCAUUUUACCCCUAUGUUCUAUUUUUAGCCGUGGCGGCCAUCUUGUUUGGUUGACCAAGUCACGCCACACAUUUUUUAAACUAGAUACCCCAAUGAUGAUUGUGGCCAAGUUUGGUUUGAUUUGGCCCAGUAGUUUCAGAGGAGAAGAUUUUUGUAAAAGUUAACGACGACGGACGACGACGACGGACGCCGGACGCAAAGUGAUGGGAAUAGCUCACUUGGCCCUUCGGGCCAGGUGAGCUAAAAA